GCCACUAUAGCUCAGCAGGUAGAGCGCGUCCUUGGUAAGGACGAGGUCACCGGUUCAAGCCCGGUUAGUGGCUCCA
RNAcentral lists this transfer RNA (76 nucleotides) under Desulfotomaculum copahuensis. Its description in RNAcentral is "tRNA-Thr". It matches the Rfam family "tRNA". From Rfam's summary of the family: Transfer RNA (tRNA) molecules are approximately 80 nucleotides in length. Their secondary structure includes four short double-helical elements and three loops (D, anti-codon, and T loops). Lineage: Bacteria; Bacillati; Bacillota; Clostridia; Eubacteriales; Desulfotomaculaceae. The record is from RNAcentral.